This 534-nucleotide ribosomal RNA is filed under the name Serpula lacrymans var. shastensis. RNAcentral describes it as "partial small subunit ribosomal RNA". It matches the Rfam family "Bacterial small subunit ribosomal RNA", at positions 365 to 902 of the family's 1533-position model. Lineage: Eukaryota; Fungi; Basidiomycota; Agaricomycetes; Boletales; Serpulaceae. The record is from RNAcentral.
UAGUCAAUGCUCGCAAGAGUGAACUAGCUAACUGAAAUCAUAUAUGUGUCAUAUGUGAUAAAGUAAGGGAAAAUAAUGAUAUUACCUUAUUAUUAGUGUUGUCCAAAACUGGUGCCAGAAGACUCGGUAAGGCCAGAGACGCGAACGUUAGUCGUCCUAAUCAGGCGUAAAGGGUUUGUAGGCUGCUUUAAAAGUCUUAUUUUUAAUAUAGCUAAAAUAAAGAUAAGAUCAAUUAAAGCUAGAAUCAAAUAGAGGAUAAACCAAAUAAUACUUAGAGUAGGGCCGAUAUCCAUAAAUACUAGGUGGAAUACUAAAGGUGAAAGCUUUUUAUCUACUAAUGAUUGACGCUGAGAAACGAAGGUGAGGAAAGGAAACAGGAUUAGAUACCCACAUACCCCUCUCUGUCAACGAUGAAUGGUGGCUUGCUAAUUGAAUAAAACAUUAAAAAUUUAAUGUUAUUAUAAUAAAAAAUUGGUAGCGAUGUUAACACGAUAACCAUUCCGCCUUGUGAGUACGACUGCAAAGUUGAAAACA